This 465-nucleotide ribosomal RNA is filed under the name uncultured bacterium. Its description in RNAcentral is "partial 16S ribosomal RNA". It matches the Rfam family "Bacterial small subunit ribosomal RNA", at positions 28 to 507 of the family's 1533-position model. The record is from RNAcentral.
GACGAACGCUGGCGGCGUGCUUAACACAUGCAAGUCGAACGGAAAGGCCCCUUUGGGGGUACUCGAGUGGCGAACGGGUGAGUAACACGUGGGUAACCUGCCCUUCACUUCGGGAUAACUUCAGGAAACUGGGGCUAAUACCGGAUAGGAAUCCUUGCUGCAUGGUGGGGGUUGGAGAGCUUCGGCGGUUUUGGAUGGACUCGCGGCUUAUCAGCUUGUUGGUGGGGUAGUGGCUUACCAAGGCUGUGACGGGUAGCCGGCCUGAGAGGGCGACCGGCCACAUUGGGACUGAGAUACGGCCCAGACUCCUACGGGAGGCAGCAGUGGGGAAUAUUGCACAAUGGGCGGAAGCCUGAUGCAGCAACGCCGCGUGGGGGAUGACGGCCUUCGGGUUGUAAACCGCUUUCAGCAGGGGCGAAGCUUGUGGUGACGGUACCUGCAGAAGAAGCACCGGCUAACUACGUG